Molecule: long non-coding RNA, 201 nt
Filed under: Populus trichocarpa (black cottonwood)
Lineage: Eukaryota; Viridiplantae; Streptophyta; Magnoliopsida; Malpighiales; Salicaceae
Description: long non-coding RNA (PTRI_LNC004213)
Source: RNAcentral
GGGGAGUCUGAAAUGAAAUCUAGUAGGACCCUACCAUGGAUCCUUCAUACUGUCUUCACGAUUCACGUAGCUGCUUUAUGAGCCAGAGAAAAGAAGGAACAUUGUACCAUUCACCAUAGACAGCUUUCAGUUGCAGGCACCCUGGUAGGACAUUAAUGUUCACACGCCUAUAAUGGCGAGAUAGUCCUCUUAUAGCUCCCA